Macaca mulatta (Rhesus monkey) is the source of this 1444-nucleotide long non-coding RNA. RefSeq lists it as uncharacterized. Lineage: Eukaryota; Metazoa; Chordata; Mammalia; Primates; Cercopithecidae. The record is from RefSeq and is a predicted model, not a curated record.
CCAUUGGACAGCCCCGUCCAUGUUCGCCCAAUGGGCAGAAGGGAUGUUGUCAGGGAGUGGGCGGAGCCCAGGGCGUGUGGCUCGGGAGCUGAGCGAGAGAAGUGGAGGGCAGGGCAACCCAUGCCGGCUGCCACAGCACCCCCUGUAGGGCCGAAUGAGCGGCGUCCGUCCCGCGGCACUCGGGUGAACCGCAGCUUCCUUCAACAAAGAUUAAGCGACUGCGAUAGGCGCUGCAGAUACGAGGAAGGAGGCGACAGGGCCUAGCUGUCACACAGCUUGGUGAAGAAGCCAGGAGACAUAAACACAAGAGUGUAACGGAAAACUUUAUAUGAUAAACAUUUAUGUCGGGUUAGUGAAGCGCAAAGGAAGAACGAUCACUUGUGGGUGGGCGGAGGCUCACAGAAGCGGCGCAAGCUCAACAGGUGGGCAAGGAAGAGCAGAAUGCGUAGACCCAUUUUAGAUCUGCAGUGUAUGUCAGAUGACUGGUGUUUAGGAGAUGAGGAAGAAGCCAUAUAAUCACUUAUGCAAGGAUAAGAAAUCUGAUCCUCCAAGCAGGAGGAUCGCUUGAGCCCAGGAGUUCGAGGCUGCAGUGAGCCAUGAUCGCGCUACGCACCCAGCUUGGGCAUCAGAGCAAGACACUGUCGCAAAAGUGAAAACAAAAUAAAGAAGAUGGCCUGAAGGGGACACCAGAGCCCUUUCUAUCUCUUUUUCAGAAAAAUCCCAAGGAACAAUUGUUUUGGAUUACUUAGUGGACUCAGCGUGGAAACUGCUUGUGUGGCCCAGCUAGGUAGGGGCGUUCAGACAAGGAGACCUGACCUGGAGCUUCUGGGAUGAUUCCAAGGGCAUCUGUGCAGGUGUCUGCAUAUUAGCAGCACCAUCUGCUUGGUUGUCUCUCAAAGGAAGAAGAAUCCUGGCCUGAUGAACUCCUCAAGCUCUCUUCUUUGGGAAAUAGGAAGAUCACAAUUUGAAAUCUUAAUCCAAGAUUGAAAGUUGGUUGCCAUCUUUGCAAUGCCUCCCAGCUGAUGCUUCAACAGGCUACUCCACCAUUCUCUCAGACUGGGUAGUAUGAUAUUGUUACUGAAACACCAGAGGUUUGGUCUACGUCCUGCUGCUCGCUGCACAGAAAGCCAAUGACAGAGACAACGAGUAUUACCAAGGAAUAAGCAAAAAAGAAGAAGGAAGAAGAAGGAGUCGUGCUAUAGCCUUCUGUAGCUACAGAUCGGGUGCUACAGCCGAGGAGAUGGGAGCUUAGUCUCAAAUCCAUCUCCCUGCUGUACUAAAACUAGAGGUUUAUAUAGCAGGGAAGAAGUGUAACAAUGUAUAACAAAAUAGGAACUAGGGAGGGGCAAGGAAGCAAUCAUGAUGAAUGAGGGGUCCAGCAUCUCAUUGUCCAUUGUCUGGAUGUGGUGAUUUUUUAUUUUAUUUUUUUUGAGACAGAGUCUUG